RNAcentral lists this long non-coding RNA (398 nucleotides) under Glycine max (soybean). Its description in RNAcentral is "long non-coding RNA (GMAX_LNC001883)". The record is from RNAcentral. Lineage: Eukaryota; Viridiplantae; Streptophyta; Magnoliopsida; Fabales; Fabaceae.
UGAUGGUGGCGGGGGAGAUUUAUAGUAAUAUGGAGGAGGUGAUGGUGAUGGUGGAGGAGGGCUCUUGUAGUAAUAAGAAGGUGGGGGAGGAGAUUUGUAAUAGUAUGUUGGUGGUGGUGGAGGUGGUGACUUAUAGUAGUAAGGAGGGUGUGGGUGCGGUGAGGGUGAAGGGGGUGGGGGAGAGUUGUAAUAAUAUGGUUUGUGAUAAGGAGUAGGGGAAGGCUUGGGCUUGGGCUUUUCGCAAUCAUAUGACUUUUCAGGAGCAUAAGCAAAUGGCUUAGCCUUGAGCACAACUUCAUACUUAUCCUUGGACUUCACCUUCAAUUUGGUUCCCUCAUUAAGCUUGGUGGGUAUGUUACAGCGUGAAUCCUUAGGAGGAGCAUGGAGUUUAGCCUUGC